AGUGACGGGAGGCCGGCGAGAGUGGAGCCAGGAGCCAGGAGCAGAAGCCGCUGUGUCUCUCACUGCCGAAUUGGCACUGCCUUUAUACCGUUGCACUGCCCAAGUUCCCCUCGGGUCAACCGAUCUCAUGCCUGACAAUAGAUAUCGUUGGACAAAAGACACCGACUGUUCAUAGCAACACGACAAGGAUCCCAUGUGUGACCAGCCAUGGAGAGGGAUGGCUCCAGUCACGUUAGGAUCCUCAUCGAACUAGCUGCUCUUGGAUUGACCUCUAGAAGCUUCUCCAUGGAAGGUCGAUCGAAGAAGCUUGACAUAUUCACUGGAGUUCAAAAGAAUGAAAAGUGAUCGUAAUCAGACAGAAAAUGAAUCCAAAAGGGAUUGAAAGACUGGAAGUACAGUUUUAAAUCAAAGAUACUUCUCCAGAUUUCUGCCAACUAUCGUGUUACUGAUUUCCAGUCGUCAGACUGUUCUGUGACCCAUGGCCAAGUCUACCUUUGGAGCAAUGGGUAUCAGACUCAUCUAGUCGUACAGCGUGGAAACAAGCCCCUCGGCCUGACUCGCACAUGCCAACCAAGAUUCCCCAUCUAUGCCAGUCCCACAUGUGGCACAUAUCCCUCUAAACCUUUCCUAUCCAUGUACCUGUCCAGAUGUGUUUUAAGUGUUGUUAUAGUACCUGCCUCAACUACCUCCUCUGGCAAC
Leucoraja erinaceus (little skate) is the source of this 699-nucleotide long non-coding RNA. RefSeq lists it as uncharacterized. The transcript has 3 exons. Lineage: Eukaryota; Metazoa; Chordata; Chondrichthyes; Rajiformes; Rajidae. The record is from RefSeq and is a predicted model, not a curated record.